AAGGAGAAUCAAAUGUUACCCAGUAACUGGACAGACUCCCUGUUACCCCCUUGCAGUAUCUGUGAUGUCAUAAUGGGAGGCCUUGAGUGACACAUGGUGAAGGGGAGUCAGAAGACCUGCUCACAGGCCACCUCUGCCUUGGCAGCUGUUUGACAGCAGGUGAGUUACCUCACUUCUUAGGGUAGAUUUCUCCUCUACAAAAUGGAAAUAAUAAUACCAACCUCAUAGAUUUCUUGUGAAGAUCAAAUGGAAUAAUAAAACAGAUCUGGGAAAGCUCAUGACCAACCAGUACCAAUCCAGUCACUGGACCAUACAUUGGCUUUUAAGAGCUAUGACGGCCUCACUCCUGAGAGGUCUGUGCCCCUGCAGCAUCACACUGCAAGGAAGAGGGGAGAGGAAUGUAAGUGCCAGCUUCCUGAACACAGUGGGAAUAAGACCGAAAAGAAAAUGAUCAAGAAACCAUAAGCAGAAGGUUCUUGUCACAGCAUUUUAGGAUUAAAAAUAAAAAGAUUUACUAAAAUUAGCCACAAUGUAAAACCCCAAAGUAGAAAGCUUUAACUAAGGCAAAUGGCCUCCACACUUUAGACAACUUUAUCAACUUCAUGCUAUAAACCAUAGCAAGCAAAUUAAUUAUUCCCAGAUGCUGGGGAUGAAGAAUGCUUGCUGAAUUGUUUUGCUUCCCAAACUCUUCAGUAUAAACACACACUCACAGGAUUGCAUUCCCUUUUUUGGCUCCCAACAUGCAAGUAAUUAUACACUGUGCAGGAUAAUGGUGGGUGAGCUCUCCUCUGAAUACCAAGCAAGUUCUGGGUUCUGUCAGCCUGUUAGAUAUCAUGUCCACAAACAUUUUUCUGUGACAGUCUUUAGUAAAAACUUGUAAACAAAUUGUUUCAAGUUUAUAAAAAAAAUUUCAACAGCAGCACAAGACUCAUUUCAAAAUUAUUCCAAACUCCUUAAGAGCUGGAGAGGGCAAAGUUCAUCUCAAAUAUAGUACAGCUCUUAUCUUGCAUCAAGAAUAGUUUUCUCUGCAAUCCCUAUGACAGAGGGUCAGAAAUCAUAUUAGUAGUCUUUACAUUUUUAUAUUCUUCCCAUUUUGCCAAUAUGUAAACAAAGAGGAAAAAAACAGAUUUUGAAUCAACUGUGAAUUGAGAAUGUGUUUAGGAUUAAAACAUAGAUUCUCUGAACAUGGCCAGAAUAAUGAGAGUAGAUGGUCAUUUUUCCAUUCCAGCUCCAAAUUUUCACAGGGCAAAUGAAAUGUACUUGGUGUUGGGUGAGUCACCUAACAUGGAGGGUUUUUUGGGCUCCCUGGGCCUUAAUACUUCUUGGAGUAAAUAAACUCAGUGGAUUUGUUCGGGGUCUUUAUAUAAUGAGGCAAAGGUGUAUGUGUGCACGUGUGUGUGUGUGUGUGUGUGUGUGUGUGUGUGUAAAUGUGGUGGUGGUGGUGUGAUAAGGAAGGCACAGGGAAAACCUCAGGAACUGUUAAGGAAAAAAACACAUUUUCUACGGAAGGAAAGAA
Molecule: long non-coding RNA, 1516 nt
Organism: Orcinus orca (killer whale)
Lineage: Eukaryota; Metazoa; Chordata; Mammalia; Artiodactyla; Delphinidae
Exons: 3
Source: RefSeq, a predicted model, not a curated record